This 72-nucleotide transfer RNA is filed under the name Vicugna pacos (alpaca). RNAcentral's name for it is "tRNA-Pro (GGG) (tRNA-Pro-GGG-1-1)". It matches the Rfam family "tRNA". Rfam says of the family: Transfer RNA (tRNA) molecules are approximately 80 nucleotides in length. Lineage: Eukaryota; Metazoa; Chordata; Mammalia; Artiodactyla; Camelidae. The record is from Rfam by way of RNAcentral.
GGGGCUGUAGCUCAGUGGUAGAGCAUGUGCUUGGGGUGCACAAGGUCCUGGGUUCAAUCCCCAGUACCUCCA